AGGCCGCAUAGCACUGGCUAGAGACCAGGGAUGGGAACCGCGCCCCAUGACAGAGCUCGGGAAAAUCCACCGGGGUGCCGCGUGGUAACGUGACGAAAGUGCAGUACUGUUUUCCUCAACCUGGGAGUCAAAAAGGACAGUACAAGGAGGCAGGUACUCAUUUUCAUCCCAAGACAUGAGAAGAUUAAUAUGCUAAACUCUACAAACUAAGUCUGGACUCCAGAGCCUGUGCCUUUCACUGCUAUGCUAUACUGGACUAGCCCGAGACUCUAAUUUACAAUUUCCUUUUAAAAUUCAUACCUCCUGUUAGUGUGAAUUGAAUUGUCUCUGUAAUUGGCAGAAGCACAAUUGCAAUAAAUGUUAUGCAAGUCAGAUUGAGAGAGCUAAAUACUUUUCCUCAGAUUGAGAGAGCUAAAUACUUUUACAAAUACAAUUUUUAAUUUUAAAAUUAAAAAAAUUAACUUUUAACUAUCAUUGUGAUGACUUUCAGGUUAUUUAUUUUAAAAUGUUAUAUAAGCCACAGUACAGCAUUUUCUGGCAACUUGUAUCAAUUAUUGAGUUUUCUAGAGUAUAAUUUAUUAUAAUAAUUUUCUUGAUGAGGCACAUCAGAUGAAACGUAAGAUAGCUUAUGCAUAUUUUCAUAUAUCAAACAGAAAUACAUUAGUUUCCUGCCUGUUCCCCACCCCAACACACACCAGUUAAUACAUGAUACAAUGUAUUGUGUCCCCUGGAGAUGUCUCCCACCCAUCCUGACUCCUGGAUUAUUCUUAUUUCAAAUGUAGUAACAAUUUGGUACCAUUCUAAUAUGGCAUUUGUAAAGCUAGUACAUGUGGGAAAGAAAAACCAUAAAAGCAAAAUGUUUACAGUAUAAUUGAACAUUACCCUAAAGAGAGGACUAUCAUUGAAGGGACAUCGAUGGGACUUUGAUACUAGUUGUAGCAAUGCUUGAUCUGUGCCACUUCUGACAAGUAAUACUCUGUAAGAUAAAAGGACUUUAAAAAAAGAAAUAUAAAAAAAUAAGGGAGUAAAAAGGCAUAACAAAAAACUAACACAAAAACUGGAUUAAAAAAAAAAAUUAAUGUCAAAACCAAGAAGAGGUCUGAAAGAUAUCAUGUAAGAAUGAUUCUCAGCUCCUUCAUUCCCCAAAUGAUGCCACUAGGAAGCAGAUGGCAUACUGUUAACUAAUGAAAGAAAACUCUACUGGUGAAGUGCUAUUUUGCCUUUAUCCUUAGAAUUACACAACUUACACACUUAGCAAUCUUAAAAAAAAAUAGAUGGGGAAAAUGAUUGAUAUGAAUUACAUUCAUUUUAAGACCAUUUCUAGUUGUUUUGAAUGAAUCCAGAACCCAUAAAUAAUAUCCUAGAAUACUGAAAGAAUCUGAUGAAGUAACACAUGCCCUUGGACAGUAAAUCUGAGUCAAGAUGAUUUCGUUAAGGUAGAUACAGACAGACACAUCGCAAGGACAAGAAUACUGUUCCCUGGCUUAUCCACAGUUUUGAGCACAGUGCCUGGCGUGUAUUAACAGCUUGAUAAAUGUCCCUGACAAAAUUCCAAAAUCUAUUUUUUUUUAAGUAUGUGGACACGAAGAAAAGAAAGCAAUGGCCACUAGAAGGCAGCAAUGAUUCACAAAGACUAACCCCAUGUCUCAUAGUUUCCCGCUAUACAGAGGAAUGAAGAUCACAUCAAAGCAUCUGACCAAAUUUCACAUCGAUAAUCCCUAUAAACAGGAUGGAGCAUAAGUUCUGGCAUCUUAUAAUUAAACGAAUUUGUCGCUGGUUUAAUGAGACCACAAUGCUAUUUAAUAAGUAUCAAUCUAAAUGGAGAUAGCUUUACCUUGUCAAUAUUUUUUUUAGUAUUAUUUGUAGACAGAAAGCAAUUUUUAUCAAAUUUCCCUGUAACUUAAAA
This is an RNA transcript of Callithrix jacchus (white-tufted-ear marmoset), 1906 nucleotides long. It is a transcript of the gene named homocysteine-responsive endoplasmic reticulum-resident ubiquitin-like domain member 2 protein pseudogene, with no coding region annotated. NCBI's taxonomy places the organism in Eukaryota, Metazoa, Chordata, Mammalia, Primates, Cebidae. The record is from RefSeq and is a predicted model, not a curated record.